AUGGUCUCCCUAUGUCUUCACAUGGCCAUCCCGCUGUGCAUCUGUGCCCUAAUCUCCUCUUCUUGGAAGGGCAUGGGUCCUAUGGACUUGAAACCACCCUCAUGACCUCGUUUUUCUUUACUGACCUCUUUAAUGAUCCACUCUCCAAAUACACAUCCUGAGGUCCUUCUGCUCAGAACUUCCACAUGUUGAUUUGGGGCCACAAGCCAUCCCAUGCCAUCCUCAAUUAGACUGUAAACCAGGUGAAGUCAGAAACAAUGCCUUAUUCCACUUUGUAUUCCUGGCGCAUGGCAUGGGGUUCGGCAACAGAAGAUCACACAUCCAUUUGAAAAAUUAAUGAGGCGGUGUUGUCCUUAUCAAUGUGCAGUGGAAAACUGUUGACAUGUUUGGAAAUUUUUAUGAUGAUAUACAUUCAGACAGAUACCUGCGUAUGUUUUAUAUAACACAAGAUAUUCCAGUAUACGUUGUAUAUCACAGCUAAAACUUGCAUACACAUGAGCAUCUAUUGUUUGUGUAUGUGUAGAGCUACACAGAUGUGUACAGACAGGGUCACCAAGCCAUCGUCUUUCCCUGAAUCACAUUGCUGCUAGUGGUAGACGUGACCUUUGCAAUAAAAUCCAGUAUUUUUAGUAAGGGAAUGAAGGAAGGAUGCUUUCUAGGUGACCUGAAGCAUCCAGGCCACAGUGUGCAUGUGGCUGUUCACACAGAGGGCUGGGGGUACAGGUGAGUCCAAGGGAUUCUGCUUCUAUAACGACUUGAGGACCCCAGAGUCUGCAGGCAACGGAAAAGAGUGGGUCAGCUUGCACCCUGGGCCUCAACACAGAGCUGCAGGUAGAGGGAGCUUUUUUGCUGUGAUGGCUUGUGUGACGCGAGGGUGACAGUGACCAGCUGGGAAAAAGCAGCCAUAGACAGAACCAAAGGACAAGGUCUGUGUGAAGAGUGGCUGGGUUUGUGGCCACCGGAUGGUGACACAGGUGUGCCUCCAUGGAUAUACCCCAGAUUCCGAUGAUUUCAAGGGUCAGGGCUCCACCUUGGGUCCAGCUUAAUUCCUGUGAUCAGAGGAGGCUCACCUCCUUCCCUCCUGCCACCAGGCUUGGAUCAGUGCCAGGGAGGGGGGUUGGUGGGGGUGCAUCUGACCAACUGGUUGCACAAGGAAAUAAAUGUCUUUAUAUCGAGUGAGAGAAAAAGUUUGCUAAUAAAAAAAUGUAUACUCAUUUCAGUCUACUUGAAAUGGGCUAGGAUAAGAUUAAUCUUACCCCAAACUUAAGGGAAACAAUAUAUUUGUGUUUUAAAUAAUAUAUCUUGCUAAAAUAACACCAAAGAGAAAAUGGUGAAUGAUCCUGAAAUUUGAUGUCAUUUUGCUUCUUUUGGUUUUUGCAUUGUUACUGACAGUCUUCGAAUAUUGCCUGUGCGUGCAUUUAUUACAGAAAUCUAUCUGUCUAUAGAUAAUAUAAAACCUUUUUUUUGACCAUGCUCACAGCCUGCAGAAGUUCCUGAGCCAGAAAUCAAACCUGAGCGACAGCAAUGACAAUACCAAGUCCUUAACUGAUAUGUCAUCAGGGAACUCCUAAUAAUGUCCUUUUUAAUAGUCAAAAAUAAUAUGGAUACACAUCCAUGUCCACAGCCAGCCAUUAGCUAUUUUGAAAGACUAGGUGAUACAGAAGGCAAAGAAGUCUAUUCCUGUUGUCAAGCCUCAGUCUUCCCAGGUGAUCCUAAAAGAACCUGCCAUAACAUUAGCUGGAGCAGGACAUGAGAAACACACACUGGGAUACUGACUCAGAUCCAGACCAGGCUGCUGCAGCUGAGAUGCUUGGCACAGAUGUGACUACACGCUGUGCAGGUUUCUGGUGCAUGUGAACACCCUUCGGCCCAGGAGAGGAAAGCAGGCCCCUGGGCCAUGGCCACUCUCCCUGCCAGCCUCCCUCCUCGGGUCUGGGGUGGAUGAGAGGCCCAGAGGACUCUUCCCUGAGAGAUGCUGUCAGAGCCGUACUGCUUGACGGCCUCAUCCUAUUACUUGUCCAUCUGAGCCAUCCUGGGCUCCAUUCCGAGCAAUUCCCUGACAUUUAGUCCUUAAGCUUCAGAGGACAGGAUUUGUCACAUUCUCUCCCAAAUGAUCCUCUCCGCUUGACCUUGGGUUAAUUCCUAAGGCCUGAUUUAUGGCAGCCCUGGACCUGUUUUUAACCUGCUCUCCAAUCCCUCUUGUCUGGGCUGGAAGCCUCUGCCCCAUCACUAAUUGGGUCCAUUACCACCUCCUGCUUCUUCCUUGACACAGAUGGAUGUUCCCACAGGCUUCGUUGAGAUCUGUACCACUGCUGUGGGCCUCUAGGAUGCCCGAGAUAGAACACAAAGAGGAUGCCAGACCCGAGCCACUUGGCAUUCACACUUGGCAGACAGGAACACUGGUGGGAAAUCGCUGUGUGUGGUAAGAUAAGAAUGGCCUUCUCUUAAUGAUCUUAACUUUUUAUAGUCUUAGGCUGUGCUGCUGUUUCAGGAGCUAACAUCAUGAGCAAAAACAAAAGCAUAGAAACCAUUUAAAACAGAUUUAUUGCAACUCCCAUGUGUGCAAAGUCCUGCAAGGAUGAGGGAAACUGACAAGGCGCCAGCUGUGUCCUCAGUGGGCUCACAGUUCAUUUGAGGAAGCAGACAUCAAUGCAACCACCAAAAACAUAUGACAGAUUCUCCACAGAAGAGAGUAAUUUCCACAGAAAUACAUGGUGUCCAGGUGCUAAAGGAUUAUGAAUGUAGGACUCAUUAAUUCCACCUAAACAAUAAGAGAAUGAUUUUUGGAGGGAUAACUUUUGCAAAAGCUUUGAAAUCCAAGAACAAUUUAUUUAUUUUUUAAUUAACUAUUUUUUAUUGCUGGGGAAUGUGUAUUUUUUUAGAGUUGUACAAGGAUCAUCACAACCCAAUUUUAUAGCAUUUCCAGCCCCAAACCCCCAGCACAUGCCCCACUACCCAACCUGUCUCAUUUGGAAACCAUAAUUUUUUCAAAGUCUGUGAGUCAGUAUUUAUUCUGCAAAGAAGUUCAUUGUAUCCUUUUUUAUAUUCCACAUGUAAGUGAUACCAUAUAAUGUUCAUGUCUCACUGUCUGACUAAGUCACUCAGCAUGAUAACUUCUAGGUCCAUCCAUGUUUAUGCAAAUGCCAUUAUUUCUUUCCUUUUAAUGGCUGAGUAAUAUUCCACUGUGUAUAUGUACCACAUCUUUGAGAAGAAUGUAAACAGGCCAACCUAAGCCAAAAGGCUCUGGAUGGGAACACACAGCUCAAAGGCAGGAGAGCGUGAACAUGUAAGACAAUUUCAGGAGACACUGGUAGUCCUAUGUGGACCCAGGAUUCCAGGCAGGGUGCAAUGAGAGAGAAGGCAGGAGGUGGUUGGUCACACCAGGAAGCACCUUCAAUUCCAUGCCAAGAAAAUUGGCUUCGUUCUCAGAGGAUUUGGAGCCAUGGGGUGGGUACUUUUAGGAAAGUGGCGAUUGGGCUUGAGCAUCUCCACAGAUCUGCACUUUGGAGAUUACUGUCCCUAAUCUAGCCACUCACUUGAUGUCACCCCCAGAAGAGCUGGAACCCCUGUUGAGAUGCUGCUAGUGACCCAUGUGCUCCAUUUGGCCCUGCCUAUCCUGUGUCCUAACCCUGAAGUCCCUCUUCCCUGAGAGAUUCUGGACGCCUUAGUUUGCUCACAGCUGUAACUUCAGUGCCUAGAUGGCUGUUUAUAAGUGCCAAACGGGGUGUAUUUAGGGCAGUUUGUGUCAUAGUUAUACCAAGAGGAUUGCGGGGAGCCAAAACCUAAUGCACAAAUAAGAGACCUUCCAACGGCACAGGGAGAGGCAACAGGGUUGGGCUAGGGCAGGGGCAGUGCUGGGUUGGAAGCAAGGAGAUUAUGGGGUGGAAUGCUCUCAGCUCAGCCAGAUCAGAGGUUGAAGCAAGUCUGUGAGGUGAGGGUGCCGGGCACACCCUCCAUACCUCCCUUGGCACAACAGUGCUCAGGCCUGUUUCGGUGCAGCCAGGGUUGCACAUCUGAGAACUCGCUGCUUCCAGAAAUCUGUGCAGCCUGGUGCAUCUAUGGUCCAAACCCCUGCCAAAGAGCUUGAUGAUGACCGCCAAUGUUGACCCAAGGGUUGGGUACAGAGGGCACUUCUGGGCUAUGGUCUGGGUUAUGGUCUUUUUGAGGGGCUGUUAAAGUCUGCUGAGUGUCAUGGGGGCAGGAACAUUCUGGGAAGUCUGUUCAGAUCUGUGUGACUAGCCAUCUGGGUUGGGCGUGGAUGUGUGCAGACAGCAGCUCCCAUGCAGCUAGAAAGACCUCGCUCUUUCUCAGCACCAUUCACCCACCCACUCUUCUCACCUCUGAUGCUGUAAAGGCAUCUGAUUUGCCCAGUGGAGGCAUCCUUAAGUCACCAGCACCCUGUCGGGCAUUACAACAGGAAGGACUGUACAGACUGUACUUUUUGAGACGGGACCUGGGUAGAGCCACUUGGGGAUGUUGAAAGUUGCCCCUUCCAUUUCUCACCUCAUGAGUAUUCAGCCUCUCCCACCUGCCCAGCACUCUGCAGGUGCUAGAGAGACAGUGGGAUAAUGCAAGUUUCAUGUGUCACCGGAAAGGCAACUGUCCAGUAAAUAACUAUACAAGAGACCAGGUCAUCACUGUUUUGAAGUGUGUCUGUGAAGGAUAAGUUAGGGAGUGAUGUGAGGUAAUAAGGAGGGGGAGCAGCCUCAUCCUCAGAGGUCAGGUUGGGCUUCCCUGAGAACAUGACACAUAAUCUGAGCCCAGGAAAAUGGAGAGGAUGUGAAUGGGAGUAGAUGCCAGAGGAUAGCAUGUGUAAAGACCUGAGUAGAGCAGGAGCACAGGCUGCACAUGUGAGGCUCAGUGAGGUCACAUUCAUCCCACAGUGGAAGCAAGUGGAGGGUGUGAGCUGGAAAGAUGAGUGCCCCAUCCUGGAGGGUACACGGGGGAUUGAGAGACAAGAUAUUAUUUUUGCAAAAGACAUAGAAUGUGUGAGGCACAGAGGGAACGUUAAAAAUGAUGCUAAAGUCGGGAGUUCCCAUCGUGGCUCAGCAGUCAACAAAUCUGACUAGCAUCCAUGAGACAGAGGUUCGAGCCCUGGCCUUGCUCAGUGGGUUAAGAAUCUGGCAUUGCGGUGAGCUGUGGUGUAGGUCACAGAUGCGGCUUGGAUCCUGUGUCGCUGUGGCUGUGGGGUAGGCUAGCAGCUAUAGCUCUGAUUCGACCCCUAGCCUGGGAACCUCCAUGUGCCACAGGUGUGGCC
Molecule: long non-coding RNA, 5257 nt
Filed under: Sus scrofa (pig)
Lineage: Eukaryota; Metazoa; Chordata; Mammalia; Artiodactyla; Suidae
Description: lncRNA (ENSSSCG00000059946.1)
Source: RNAcentral